This 206-nucleotide ribosomal RNA is filed under the name uncultured bacterium. RNAcentral describes it as "partial 16S ribosomal RNA". It matches the Rfam family "Bacterial small subunit ribosomal RNA", at positions 1295 to 1500 of the family's 1533-position model. The record is from RNAcentral.
GGAUUGUAGGCUGAAACUCGCCUACAUGAAGCUGGAAUUGCUAGUAAUCACAGGUCAGCAUACUGUGGUGAAUACGUUCCCGGGCCUUGUACACACCGCCCGUCACACCAUGAGAGUCGGGAACACCCGAAGUCCGUAGUCUAACCGCAAGGGGGGCGCGGCCGAAGGUGGGUCCGGUAAUUGGGGUGAAGUCGUAACAAGGUAAC